GUCUACGGCCAUGACACCCUGAACAUGCCCGAUCUUGUCUGAUCUCGGAAGCUAAGCAGGGUCGGGCCUGGUUAGUAUUUGGAUGGGAGACCACCUAGGAAGACCAGGUGCUAUAGGCG
This 119-nucleotide ribosomal RNA is filed under the name Pteropus alecto (black flying fox). Lineage: Eukaryota; Metazoa; Chordata; Mammalia; Chiroptera; Pteropodidae. The record is from RNAcentral.